This 467-nucleotide ribosomal RNA is filed under the name uncultured bacterium. Its description in RNAcentral is "partial 16S ribosomal RNA". It matches the Rfam family "Bacterial small subunit ribosomal RNA", at positions 28 to 507 of the family's 1533-position model. The record is from RNAcentral.
GAUGAACGCUGGCGGCGCGCCUAACACAUGCAAGUCGAACGAUUAAAGCACCUUCGGGUGUGUAUAAAGUGGCGAACGGCUGAGUAACACGUGGGCAACCUGCCCCUUUCAUUGGGAUAGCCACGGGAAACCGUGGAUAAUACCGAAUACUUCGAGACUUCCGCAUGGAAGACUCGAGAAAGCUCCGGCGGAGAGGGAUGGGCCCGCGGCCUGUUAGCUUGUUGGUGGGGUAACGGCCUACCAAGGCAAUGAUGGGUAGCUGGGUUGAGAGACCGACCAGCCAGAUUGGGACUGAGGCACGGCCCAGACUCCUACGGGAGGCAGCAGUGGGGAAUCUCGCACAAUGGGCGAAAGCCUGAUGCAGCGACGCCGCGUGCGGGAUGAAGGCCUUCGGGUUGUAAACCGCUUUCAGCAGGGACGAGGCGAAAGUGACGGUACCUGCAGAAGAAGCCCCGGCUAACUACGUG